Molecule: unclassified non-coding RNA, 2325 nt
Filed under: Hevea brasiliensis (rubber tree)
Lineage: Eukaryota; Viridiplantae; Streptophyta; Magnoliopsida; Malpighiales; Euphorbiaceae
Source: RNAcentral
GGACUGGUUUAUGGGCAGCCUGCAAAGGUCUCAUUGCUUUUAGCGCAGCCUGGGAAAUGCAGAAAAUCAUAAAAUUCUAGCACCAGAUAUUUUUAGCUGACUGAUGCUGACAAACAAGCAGAGCAGCAAUGGCUGCUUCACUCUCUCUCCACUGCCACAAUAGACCACCCUUAUCCUUAGACAAUACCUUGCUUAGAAAUCCCACCAUCACUAUUCCAAUGACCGCCCAGAACAGCACCAACUGUCCAAAUCAACCGCACCCAUGUCUUGUUUCACUGGAAAAAUGCUCCAGCAUGUCCGAGCUCAAGCAAAUCCAUGCCCAAAUGCUCAGGACCGGCCUCUUCUUCGAACCCUUUGAAGCCGGCAAACUUGUGGGCUUUUGCGCUCUCCAAGACUCUGGAAGCCUCCAUUAUGCUCGUCUCGUCUUCUCUCAAAUCCACAAUCCCACACCUUAUACUUACAAUUCUAUAAUCCGAGGAUACACAAACAAGAACUUACAUAGAGACACACUUUUUUUCUAUCAAGAGAUGAUAGUUGAAGGACAGAUACCGGAUAGAUUUACAUAUCCUUCGUUGUUCAAGUCAUGUGGAAAUUUAUCCGAGGGGAAACAGCUUCAUUGUCACUCCACAAAAUUCGGUUUCGCAUCAGAUUCCUAUAUCCAGAACACUUUGAUGAAUAUGUAUUCGAAUUGCGGUUGUUUGGUGUCAGCUAAAAAGGUAUUUGAUAAAAUGGUGGAAAAGAAUGUGGUUUCAUGGGCAACAAUGAUUGGUGCUUAUGCGCAAUGGGAACAACCCCACGAAGCAUUGAAGCUUUUUGAGAGAAUGGAGAGUGAAAAUGCGAGUCCAAAUGAGGUUACGUUGGUCAAUCUCCUGACUGCUUGUGCAAGGGCAAAAGAUUUGGCAUUGUUGAAGACGAUUCAUGAGUACAUUGAUGAAAAUGGUUUUGGAUCCCAUGAGGUCCUCAAAACGGCUCUUAUGGAUGCUUAUUGCAAAUGUGGUUGUGUAUCACUGGCAAGAGAUCUAUUUGACAAGAUGCAGGAAAAGAACUUGUUUUGUUGGAAUAUCAUGAUUAAUGGGUGCGUAGAGGAUAGUGAUUAUGAAGAGGCUUUGCUACUCUUUCGUCAAAUGCAAGUUCAGGGUGUCCAAGCGGAUGAGGUCACCAUGGUGAGUUUAUUGCUUGCUUGCAUCCAUUUGGGUGCUCUUGACCUUGGUAAGUGGUUACAUGCCUAUAUCAAGAAGCGAAAAAUCAACGUGGAUGUUGCCCUAGGAACAGCAAUGGUAGACAUGUAUGCGAAGUGUGGAAGCAUAGAAAGAGCAUUACGCGUGUUUCAGGAGCUGCCUAAGAAAGAUGUUAUGACUUGGACAGCCUUGAUUGUUGGUCUUGCUAUGUCUGGGCAAGGGGAGAUGGCUCUGGAGUAUUUCCAUGAGAUGCAGGGUAACGGAAUUAAGCCUGAUGCAAUCACAUUUGUGGGGGUUCUGGCUGCGUGUAGUCAUGCUGGACUUGUGGAUGAAGGGAUCGCACACUUCAAAUCAAUGUCUGAUACCUAUGGCAUUCAGCCUACGAUUGAGCACUAUGGUGGUUUGGUCGAUAUAUUAGGCCGAGCUGGUCGGAUAGCUGAAGCAGAGGAGUUGAUAAAGAAAAUGCCAAUGGCACCAGAUCAUUACGUUUUAGGGGGUCUUCUUGGUGCCUGCAGAAUCCAUAGAAACCUUGAAGCUGCAGAGAGAGCAGCCAAACGGCUUUUGGAGCAGGACCCGGAAAAUUGUGGAGCAUAUGUACUCUUAUCUAACAUUUAUAAAUCAUCAAGGAGGUGGGAAGAAGCUAAAAGAGUCAGGGAACUGAUGGUGAAAAGAGGCAUGAGAAAACCCCCAGGAUGCAGCCUGAUUGAGGUUGAUGGAGUUGUUCAUGAAUUUGUAAAGGGUGAUUCAUCCCACUCUCAAUCCUUAGAGAUCCAUAAAAUGCUGGAGGACAUGAUUAGCCGCUUAAAGAAAGCUGGUUAUGUUCCUAAUAAAGCAGAAGUGUUAUUUGACAUGGAUGAAGAGGAAAAGGAGACUGCACUUAGCCUUCACAGUGAGAAACUGGCAAUUGCAUUUGGCCUCUUAAAUACAAGUCCUGGGAUGCCACUCCGAGUUGUGAAAAACCUUCGUGUGUGCAGUGAUUGCCACACAGCCACAAAGCUCAUAUCAAAACUCUACAAUCGAGAGAUAAUUGUGAGGGACAGGAAUCGGUUUCACCAUUUUAAAAAUGGAUUUUGUUCAUGCAAGGAUUUCUGGUGACAUAAGAAACAAUACAUUGUUCUGAUAUAGUUCAAAAUUAACAAAUUUUUUC